GCCAGCUGGAUAGCUCAGCCUGUAGAGCAUGAGACUCUUAACCUCCAGUUCGUAGGUUCGAGCCCCAUGUUGGGCA
This is a non-coding RNA of Podarcis lilfordi (Lilford's wall lizard), 76 nucleotides long. NCBI's taxonomy places the organism in Eukaryota, Metazoa, Chordata, Lepidosauria, Squamata, Lacertidae. The record is from the annotation of a GenBank genome assembly.